Molecule: non-coding RNA, 88 nt
Organism: Caenorhabditis elegans
Lineage: Eukaryota; Metazoa; Nematoda; Chromadorea; Rhabditida; Rhabditidae
Source: Ensembl
UUGUAGUCUGGCAGACCCAUGCGCUCGAUUUGGGUCUGCUAGACUACAAACUACACGCUGUAGAGCUAAUUUUCGUACUUUUGAAGGG